RNAcentral lists this transfer RNA (72 nucleotides) under Dehalococcoidia bacterium. RNAcentral's name for it is "tRNA-Thr". It matches the Rfam family "tRNA". From Rfam's summary of the family: Transfer RNA (tRNA) molecules are approximately 80 nucleotides in length. RNAcentral also lists the same sequence under 1 other name. Lineage: Bacteria; Bacillati; Chloroflexota; Dehalococcoidia. The record is from RNAcentral.
GCCACCGUAGCUCAGUGGUAGAGCACACCCUUGGUAAGGGUGAGGUCACGAGUUCAACUCUCGUCGGUGGCU